This 6989-nucleotide long non-coding RNA is filed under the name Mus musculus (house mouse). RNAcentral describes it as "long non-coding RNA chr11:11195441-11202430". Lineage: Eukaryota; Metazoa; Chordata; Mammalia; Rodentia; Muridae. The record is from RNAcentral.
UAUUUCAGCUUCCUGGGUCACUGGGAGUCUUCUUUGGCUUACGAUCUGGCUGUCUCUUUCUGGUUCUCCAGAGAAUUCACUUGGCUCACCGUCUGUGCUCCUGAUGUCCUCAAGUUGGAGAUUUUUCUGCUCUGAUGCCCCAGGAUGGUCCUACAUCACAUUCAGCUAAGGUCUUCGCUGGCUGGCAGGUCUCACCUGCCUGUUCUCAAAUAUUCUGUUAAUGGCCACUGUUCCCAUGGAGAAGCCCACAAGAAAGGACAUGUAUUUCUGGACAGGCAUGCGUACUGACCCACUUCUCCCCUCAGACCUAAAUAUUGUGCCAUUUACUUUUCUCAAUAAGGAAAGUGAACCAUUGCUUUCUCUUGGCCUGUCUCUAAAGAGCCUCCCUCUCUGACCCUCACCACAGAGAAGCCAUCAGGACUGCUGUGGGCUUCUGGCCUCUGGCCUCAUGGAAGUGACUAUCUUUUCUGCACUGAGUCUGCGUAGAUAUCCUCGAGUCUUCAUUUUGCUGCUGACUAAAGAACACAUAGUGAUCACACCAGGGCCUGUGGGUAUGUAGUUUAUGCAGAGUCUUCUUAUUAGGAUUGAAGUGACAGCUCCUUGAAACCUUCCCUGUACCGACAACAGCUCCAUCAUGGCUGAUUUGUAGAUCUGUGGGUAAUUGUCAUCCUCCCUAGUUAACCUGCUCCCGGGUCUCUUUGACUGCUUGUAAUAAAUUUUACAGCCAUGAAAUUGUGCUUAUAGAUUUCUCUCAGAUCCUCCAGCUUCGGAGACAUUUUUCUUCUGGUUUCAAAAAUGAAAAAAAAAUCCCCCAAAAAUAGCAACAACAACCAACCUACCUGACAACAGCUAUUACCAAGUUCCUGGUUUCUCUUCCUGUGGCCUGGACUCCUCCUGAAGCUCUUUCUUGCACAGGGAAGCAGUUUCCUUUUUGUUUUUAGCUCAUAAUGUUUGAAAAAGAAGUGGUUACAGGGAAUGCUACAGCAGAAGCGCAGGCUCUUCUGGGAUAUGAUUGCUUUGGAAUCCUGAAGGCAUUGCAUGUUGGAUGGCCCAGAUAUGAUAUCAGAAUGUGUGAGUUAGCCUUCUUAUAGUUUUUCUUCUCCAUGGAGCCAAUAGUAAUUCUUCUAGGCUAACAUUUAUGUAAUGCUAUUGUGGGUCUGGGUACAUGAGGUUUUCCAUGGAGAUCUCUGGCCAGGCCUGGUGCGAGGGUUCGAGCGAAGGGAAGCGAGUGCAGGCAUGGAGACAAAGUCUCUGCCAUGCCUUCCAGGUCACUCGGUAACUCUGAGCUGCUCUGCAUUGAGUUGGGUCGGGCUGGGCUUAUGAGAAGCCAAAUAUCCAGUGAGGAGUGUGGUGGGACCUCAGGUGGCUCAUCGGGAGAGAAGAUCUCUUCCCAAGAGUUACUGCUCUUGGAACAAAAGACUCAGACAAUGAGUAGUUCUCGAACACCUUUAAUUCCCUGGAUAGGAUUUAUAAACAGUUUUGGGAGUGAUUCGGGGUUUGACAGCAGGUACCUCUUACUGCCUUGGACUGAGAGUUUGGGGGAAACCUUAUUUGCAUGUGGGAAGGCUUGGUGCUGCUCCUAUGUGACUGAUAGCCACAUACCUCUUCUUUAGGGGCUGUGGGGGCUGUGGAGGCUGUGGGGGCUGUGGGGGCCUUGGGGGCAGUAACUUCAACAGGAGCCAGGGGUCCAGGAGACAUGAUGGAACCCCUUCCAUCUCAUGUAGGUGGAAAUUUCCACCCAUUCGGUCCCCAGGGUUCUAGACCUAUGCUCAACGGGAGACCAGGCUAUCUGUGAGCAGCCCACUGCCCCAUAUGCUAUUCUAUUGUUUCUUACCCUUCAGUUAACACUUUGGGAAAGUUGAUUUCCUGAGAACUCUGUUUUAGCCCUCUCCAUAGCUACCUUGUUUAAUGAGUUGACCAUUCUUCUUUGACCUGUGAGUGAUGAGGGACUGGAUGAUGAAGGGGUUAAAUCUGAGCUGAGGGACCCACAUUCAGCCACCUACUCUCAUCAUUGUAUCCACACAGGUACUUCUGGUGGUCAUCUUUUCCGUUUCCAGGUUCCCAUUGCUUUUAUCAGAUCUUCUAACUGGUGUAGAUGUGGCUUGUUUUUUAAAAUCCUGCCCUAGGCAUUAAUUGUUUCUUCAGCAAUAGUAAUAAACAGGCCUUUUCUGUAUUGUGUGGACACCAGGGCUUCAGGAAACUAUGACAGAUGUCCUACUUAUUACCAUAAUUAUUUAAUCAGAAUAUAAUUAUUUAAUGUAGAGAAGAAACACUGAGACAUCAGGGAUGAAAUGCUAUGAAAAUUGACUAUAGUAAUUGACUCUUUUUUAUUUGAGGUGUUCCCGUUUUGUGGCUAGAAAUCUAAGCCUCCAGAGUUUGCAACUGCACUCAACAACUAUUUAUUAAUGCUGAAACAUUUUAUUACAGACCGAUUACCCUGGAGUUGAUUUAAAAUACACAGGAUAAGUACAUAAGUGAUAUGGAAAUAGUGUACCACUUUAUUUGAGGGGUGUGGAGCUCCCGCAGGUUCUAAUCUUCAGGGAGUCCUAGAACCCAGGCCCCACAAUGCUAAGGACUGAUGGCAUAACUGAACACACUGGGGUCACAUCCUGGUGAGCCCACAACCCAAGUAACCACAUCUAAGGCCUGAAAGAGGAGAGACACUGGUUUUGGGGGAUAUGGGAGUGAGCACAGAAGUUAUGUGCAAGUCAGGUCCCUCCUCCAACUAAGCGUGCACUCAGGGGGACUUUAUUCCAGUAGGCUAUGCAUAUGCAUUUAGGAAAGCACUUUAAAGGUGGGCAUAUUCCUGAGCAUGCUCAGUUUGAAUUCAUACUUUAUUGAAGAAAGACAAUUUGUGUAUGCUCAGCUGAAAGCCAAGCGUAUGUUCAAAAGGCUAAAAUGGUGAACAAGAAUGCACCUGAGCGUACUCACUGUGUCACCAAAUGAAAAUGAAAAGACACUAGAUGUGCACUAAAAUGUUAAAAUAUGCUUCUGUCCCUAAAGGUGCCUGUCUUGCCUAGUGACUGAUACUUAUUCUUAUCUCAUGAGAUUAGAAAACAAACCUUAUUUAUUCUGUACAGCUUUGGGGCCUUGUGAAUAGCAUGUACAUUUGGCAGAUUUUACCUCCAUGUGAAAUGAAACUCCUGACAAUGAAUAGAAUGGACACUGGGAAUUAGGUAAUCUUCAGCUCUCAGAGGGGGGAGGGCAAAGGUUCACUGACUUCACUUCAGCUAAAGUAAGAAGACAUCUCAAAUUUGGCAAUGAAAUUAAAAGCUCAUUAAGAUGAUACCUGGGAAGGAGAGAUUGUUCAGUUGGUAAGGAGCACUGACCAUUCUUCCAGAAGUUGUGGGAAGUGGCUAUGGCUUUCAUGGGAAUGUGGUGUUGCUAUAGGAGAAAUGGCUUGAUACAGUCCAGGAAGGAGGCCAUUGCGUCUGAGGGAGCAUUGUGUCCUUAACAAAAGAGCUAAAAUCCAGGAAUUAGAGAAAGAGGUAGGUAAGGAUAGGAGGAACUGGGCAUGAGGAUCAGGAUAGCAGUGCUGCCUCACUGGUUAAAUCAGGGAUGUGUUACCUGAGACCAUCUGUCCUCAAGUGGAUGAAAGCUCAGGAGUGCAGAGAAAGGUGGAUCAGUGGAGAAAAGGAAGCUUGUGUAAUCAUUCAUUAGAAACACAAGAACAUCAUAUAUAGGUCUGUCUCUAGCCUUAUCUUUGGUAAACAAGGAGAUUAUGAGUCUUAUCCAACCCAUAGGAGGAGGAAUGGCCCUUUACAUAAACUUGCUUUCAGGUGCACAAAAUGCUGUGAGGAUAACACAUUAUUGAGUUAUCUGGUAUUCAUGAUUCUAGAAUAGACAUAAUCUUUUCAUGCAUGAACAGAGAGGUUUAGUGUACAGAAUCCAACAUGGCAAAGAAAGCAGAAACAGUAUGAGCAGUUGAAGGUUUCAAAAUCGCUUUGCUUUUAUAGUUAAAACACAGUGGACUUCGUGAAGUUUGAAGUAUACCGAUUUUUUUGAAAACUGACUUACUCUAAGGUUCAGUUUGAUGAACUGAUAUUUGGAUUGUGAACUCCAUUCCAGUUUGAUCUGGUUUUCUGGGGCCCAAUGAAGGACCUUGGUCCAGAAGAGUCGCACCACUUGGUAUUUUAAGUAACUCUCAUAUAACUCAGGCUGGCCUUAAACUUGAGGCUCUCCUACCUUUGCCUCUCUAGGGGUUGGAUUACUAUCACACCUGCUCAAUACUUUCUCAGUCUUUUUUGGGGUUCUUGACCAUGAGUUGUAUUCAGGUGUUAUUGAGUGUUCCUUAGCCAUGUGUCAAGGAUAUCUAGGUACUCCACUAAGCAUUGGGCUGCUGAAUCUUAACCCUGCUCUAAAAGGACUACAGCUGAAGGUGGUGAGUGUCUUGGUUUGUCAGUGUGGAGUAGUCAAGAUGAGGGGAGUAAAGGCAGGAUUUCAAAGGCUAUGACAACAAGCACCAUACUUAACAUGAUUUACAUCCAUGCAUGAAAGAGAAGAAUCAAACUUAACUGUAGAGAAUUUAAUCAGAGCAAAUAGAUGAAUGAAGUGAUGUUGUCUGAUGUCAAGAACAAAAUGUGUACAUAACAAGAUGGAAUAGAAAGAGAACUGGAAUUCAGUUGUAUGCAUGAAGCUUGAUAAACCUUGUUCAGAUCCAAGUCACUUUUUCAAUGGUAAAGUCUGGAAUUCAAAGGUGUGAUCUGGCAAUCUGGGGGUGCCUUUUAGAACAUGAUAGCUGUAGAGUUGACCUUGUACUAUGAGGACAGUAUUGUUUGAACCUAAUGAACAUUCUAAUAGAUUCUAGGCUAAUAGGAUUCAGUAAUGAGGGAAGCCUACAAUUUUCCAAAAUAGCCUAAUUUUCAAAACAGUACUCUUUGACCUGUGAGCAUGGGUGCUCUGAUUAGCUGCACAACAUUGUGUAGGUUAUGUGAGCCUUGGGGCAAACUUCAAGGUUGACUUGAUGCAAUUCAUUGGUGUGUUUCUUUGUCCUCUAUUCAUUAUUCCCUGUGGCUAAUUCAUUCCCGGGAGACUCUGUGGUAAUCAAAUGGUAUAUGGAGAAUGAAUCUGGGUGGAGAGGUUUCAUAAUUAAUUUUGAAGAACCACAUGAUAAAUGGAAUACAGAGCUAUAAGAAUAGGAUUAAUAGUGUAUACUCAGGUGACACGUUAAAUGAGUAAGUCAAGUACUAGAUAAAUUUGUUAUAUCUAGAAAGGGUCAGUGUCUGUAUUAUAUAUUAAAGUAGUCACAGGAAGUAUGUUACAAACCACAUUGCUGACAGGGCUAAAAUUCAUGACACCCUCUCACCGUAAAUAAAUAAUUUCAAGUAAAUUUAUUUUGAAAUUUCUUGACAGCUAUAGCUUAUUUUGAAAAAUAUAUAUAAGCAAAAUUCCAUCAGCUGCUAGAAACAAAGAGAAAAGUGUGUUUUAGUCAUAACUGGUAGUCAAUACCACAGAGAUCUUAGACGUUUAGGGUGGACAGAGGCAUAAAGGAUGAGAGCUGUGAUCUUGUUACCAGAGCCCCUCUUAUAAGGCCGGGCUCUUGGGGUCCAAAUAUCUUGUCUGUGUUACGAGAAAAUAAUAUUGAAUGUAGAGAAAUGAAACAAAGAAUUUAGUUAUAACUUUGGCUUUAGAAGAAAAUUCAGCUCUGUGCUUCCUCACCAAGUGUUGAACCACACUUCAGGGAAGUGGAUAAUAAACAGAAGGUAGGGGGCAUAGCAGGGAAGUGGAUAAUAAACAGAAGGUGGGGGCAUAGCAGGGAAACACUUUCCAUGCUGUGUUUUAACAGUUGCCCGAGCUGUUCACUAUUAUUUUUACUUUGAUAGGUUACCAAGCCAUCAGGUUUAAUUUAGGAAGAAUAUUGUAGGCAAAUAAUUAUGUUUCUAAACCCAAGAUGAUCAUUUUAUAUUAAAAUGAGGAUGAAAUGUAUAGGUUGAUAUAUCUCAUCAAUAAUCCUCAUAGAUUUUAUCUAUGCCCUUACUCAAACUACAUCUAUUGAUAGGUCCAGAAUUUAUAAAACAAAAACCAAAUAAAUCUUCACUGAGAACUGGCAAAAACUUUAAAAAUAUUUUAUACACAGAAGUGUUAAAACAGAGUUAAAAAAACAAGCUGUUGUUCCAUCAUAGACACACCUGAAUGCACAUGUUCUCAGAGGGGCUUUUCUCAGUGAGUCUGUGAGAUGAGAUUCCCACCAUCUUUGUCCUGAGCUUGUAGUAGACAUCAACAAUGAUGAAAAUAUGUGUACCACCAACUUCUAAAGUCCACAGUUGCCACAUUCUUAUAUUUUUAGCCUUUGAAGUCUAUGUUAUUUAAUUUGCAUGAUAUUACAAAUUGGCCUCAUGGAAAAUAAUACAUGACAACUAUUAAAGUGAAUUGAGAUCCUUAUCAAAUAUAAGCCAGCUACUCUCAAGUAUUUUAUUAAGCAUAUUCCAUAGAGAUAUAGACAAUUUAAAUUAAGAAUUGUGACUGUGAUAACCAAUAACUAUGAUAACCAAUAACUAAUCUGCACUCUUUGGGAUCCAAUGAACCAUGCAAAUAUUUUGCAUGCUGGCCUGAGUGAUGAAACUUAAUUAAAUUUAGACAUGCUUAGAGUAAUAGCUGAGAAUUGUGUUAUUGUUUGUAACAUGAAUAUAUAAAUAAGUAUUGCUAACCUCAACAAAACCAAAGCAAAUAGUUCCUGAUUUAUGUGAUCAAUGUUUAAGGCAAGAGGGUGGAUGUCAGAAGUCAUGUGAAGGACUUUGGGUCAGUUUUAAUUAGCAAAUCGGAAGCUUCAGGUUUCACACUGGGUCUCUGAUGCACAGGUGAGAUAGCAGAAAGCCUUUGCCCAGGCCUCGGAGCCCCCUAGUCAGCUUUGGGGUUUAGUCAGUGUCCAAUGGCACAGAAAUCAUUUGCACUGACAUGAUAGUUUAGAGAUCAAAACUGGGAGUUACAUGGGGAAAGCAGCUUUAUCCAUCGAAGCCCUCUUUGUCUCAGGAGACACUUGGCAGCUUGAC